RNAcentral lists this ribosomal RNA (253 nucleotides) under uncultured bacterium. RNAcentral's name for it is "partial 16S ribosomal RNA". It matches the Rfam family "Bacterial small subunit ribosomal RNA", at positions 524 to 776 of the family's 1533-position model. The record is from RNAcentral.
UACGCAGGGUGCAAGCGUUAAUCGGAAUUACUGGGCGUAAAGCGUGCGCAGGCGGUUCUAUAAGACAGAUGUGAAAUCCCCGGGCUCAACCUGGGAACUGCAUUUGUGACUGUAGAGCUGGAGUACGGCAGAGGGGGAUGGAAUUCCGCGUGUAGCAGUGAAAUGCGUAGAUAUGCGGAGGAACACCGAUGGCGAAGGCAAUCCCCUGGGCCUGUACUGACGCUCAUGCACGAAAGCGUGGGGAGCAAACAGG